Zalophus californianus (California sea lion) is the source of this 1425-nucleotide long non-coding RNA. RefSeq lists it as uncharacterized. Lineage: Eukaryota; Metazoa; Chordata; Mammalia; Carnivora; Otariidae. The record is from RefSeq and is a predicted model, not a curated record. The transcript is spliced from 4 exons.
GUAAAACCUGGAUAGAAUGCAUGGAGCAGCUAUUUAAGGACUCUGAAAGUGAAUAGUAGCAAAUGGAUCAGAGAAGAUCAACAGUUGAAGUAUCACUAAGCCAGUGCUCAGUCAUUCUUUGCAGACAGAGGUUUGACUGCACCUUUAUUGUGCAGAUGGAAAAGAUGCUGGAGCGUAUUGUAGUUGAAGGAUUUGAAAGACUACAUCUUGGGUGCCUCUCCAUGAUGUGGGGCUUUGCUGUCAGGCUGGUUUGAAUCUGUGUGUUGGCUUAUGUGCAAGGUUGGUGAGCGGCUUGAGAGACUUGUGUUUUGUUUUCCACAAGAAGGGGAGAAUGAAGGCACUGACGAAAAUUGGAAACGUUUCAGAGAAAUGUAAUCUUCUAGAGAUACAAACGUAGCACAGAGAAGUGUAGCCCAAAGGGAUGGAAACUGGAGAAGUUACGAAGAACAUGAUCUUGGCUGCGGUGAACAUUGUGGAGCAUGAGUGUGACUACAUGGGCUCUGGAAAGUAAAUGUGGGAAGAAAGCUGCAGGGCACAGAGCCAGGUGGCUUUGGGCUCUGACAGUCUGGGUCUCCUGGCUGCUAGAGGCACUAUGUCUGCCCCAAAUUUCCUAGCACCUGCUGCUCCCCGCUCCCCACCGCCUGCCUCUCCAGUCUCUGGUCCCCUUCUCAUUGUUUGUUCCGACUUCCAUGCUGCCUCUUUGUUCAGAGGCGUCCCCUCUCUCUCCUUCAUCCAUCCCCUCCACGGGAACCCUGCACAGAACCGUCAUGUACUGGGUCAGUUCCAUACUUCUCACCACGAUGGGGACUCAGACAACAAGUUAAACAUGAAAGGGGUGAGGGCACACUUGGUAGAGAGAAUAACUUCUUGCCAGAGAGGGAUGGAUGGAAAGGAGUUGCUCAGGAGGGUGACAAGGGGACCCUUUGGCAGGGAGAUGGGCUCAGACUGGGAUCUGGGUCCAUAGUAAUUUUUAAUAAACGCUUGCUAAUUCAUUGAGUUUCAGGGAUCACAACCAAGCAUUAACAGAAAAGCCUGUGCUCUGGUGAAAGUCUCUUUUAUUAUAUACCCUAUUUCAUUUAAAAUUGAACUCAUUGCCUAAUGACUGCAGAAAUACAGUGUGUCCCAGCCCUUAAGAAUGAAACGCCAGGUUGAUAGCCAGAGAACUAGAACUGAGACUGCUUCUUUUAUGGGCACCAGGAUCUCUAAUCCCAACCAUCCUUCGAGGGCCAGUUCAUGGCUCCUUCCACCACAAAGCCAACCCGUACAUUCUCCCCGUGAAGCCACAGUGUUUUGCUCCUCUCUCCAGUUACCUACCAUGGGCUACCCAUCAGAAAAGAUUAUGAUACCUUCCUUCUUUCCUUUUUCUAAAAUAUAAGCUGAUGGUAGACAGGAAUUAUGUAUUAUUCAUUUUUACAUACAUACAUA